AAAAGACACUAUGUUGUGGAGAAUUAUUGGUGCUGUGAAACUGGCAACACUGACUUGAGAGGGUAGAUAAUUUAAUUGUUUGAAAAGAGGAAAGAAGUCAGUUGGAAGGUGGAUGCUUUGCAGACUCGUGCAUUGUACACUAGAAUCAUUGAAGCUGCUCAACAAAUGACUGCUGUCAAUAGGUGAUCAUUCGCGGCAAAGUAAUAUCCCCAUCCCAACAUUCUUCAAUGAUUCUAAUCGCCUACGGAUUAGUUAACAAUGGAGCCCAUAGCACGUAGAUUGGAAUUGUUGGAAGAGGAGAGUGCGAAAUGGCGAAAACAUUGUGAAGAUGAAGAGCGGAGAAUAGAAGAGGAAUAUCAGCGGAGUUUGGCCGAAAUUCGGGAAAGAUUCCGAAAAGCUUCUAAAGCAAUUGAGUUGGAGUUUGCACCUAGGAAGGAAGAAGUAAAAAGGCAAUUUAGUGAUGAAGGUUUGAGAGAAAAAUCUGCCUGCACUACUUCUCAACCAGAAGCAAACAAUCGUCAUCCAGCUUCUACAGUACCAUCGAAUUGUAUUGUUCAAAAACGUACGAUUGGUGUUAUGAAUGUUGUGCGGAAGGCAGUAAAAGCGCAAAACAAGGGCGAGAAUGAUCAAAACGAUUGGAUCAGUGUAUGGAAUUUACCUACCUACAAACAUAUUGAGAUCAGAGGAAAUCACCGGGCUAGGCAAUCACAGUUUGGAAGGUACAUCAGCAGAGAAACAAACGCAGUGUCGAAAAAACAAAGGUUAUUUGCGAUAACGGUGUUUGAAGUUUAUGAUCCCGGCGGAAUAUUAUAUGAGCAAUUCGGACGGAGAAAUAACAAUGAACGGCAGUUCGACAGUGCUGACUGUGGGUCGCCAGUAUUGUGUUGUUUCCAGAUUAUCGCCAUUCCAUGUGAAUACAGCAAUCACUGUUCAGACCGGUUACCAGUUUCACGGGAGGGAGACUGUUGUGGAGAAUUAUUGGUGCUGUGAAACUGGCAACACUGACUUGAGAGGGUAGAUAAUUUAAUUGUUUGAAAAGAGGAAAGAAGUCAGUUGGAAGGUGGAUGCUUUGCAGACUCGUGCAUUGUACACUAGAAUCAUUGAAGCUGCUCAACAAAUGACUGCUGUCAAUAGGUGAUCAUUCGCGGCAAAGUAAUAUCCCCAUCCCAACA
Long non-coding RNA from Aedes aegypti (yellow fever mosquito), 1172 nucleotides. RefSeq lists it as uncharacterized. The transcript has 3 exons. The record is from RefSeq and is a predicted model, not a curated record. NCBI's taxonomy places the organism in Eukaryota, Metazoa, Arthropoda, Insecta, Diptera, Culicidae.